CCUACGGGAGGCAGCAGUAGGGAAUUUUCGGCAAUGGGGGCACCCUGACCGCGCAACGCCCCGUGAACGGAGAAGGUACUCGUAAUGUAUAGUUCUUUUAACAGGGGAGGCAGAGAAAUUUGACGGUACCUGAAGAAUAAUCUCCGGACAACAACGUGCCAGCAGCCGCGGUAAUACGUAGGGAGCGAGCGUUAUCCGGAAGUAUUGGGCGUAAAGGGUGCGGAGAUGGCAUAGUAAGUCUGUGGUAAAAAUGAGGGGCUCAAACCAUUAGGGCAAAAGAUACUGCAAAGCUAGAGUAUGACAGAGGCAUGUGGAAUGACAUGUGUAGCGGUAAAAUGCGUAAAGAUAUGGCAGAACACCAGUGGCGAAGGCAGCUUGCUGGGUCGAUACUGACAUUGAUGCACGAAAGCGUGGGUAGCAAACAGGAUUAGAUACCCGUGUAGUC
RNAcentral lists this ribosomal RNA (445 nucleotides) under uncultured bacterium. Its description in RNAcentral is "partial 16S ribosomal RNA". It matches the Rfam family "Bacterial small subunit ribosomal RNA", at positions 338 to 795 of the family's 1533-position model. The record is from RNAcentral.